UUGAUCCUGGCUCAGGACGAACGCUGGCGGCACGCUUAACACAUGCAAGUCGAACGAGAGAAGAGAAGCUUGCUUUUCUGAUCUAGUGGCGGACGGGUGAGUAACACGUGAGCAAUCUGCCUUUCAGAGGGGGAUACCGAUUGGAAACGAUCGUUAAUACCGCAUAACAUAAUUGAACCGCAUGAUUUGAUUAUCAAAGAUUUAUCGCUGAAAGAUGAGCUCGCGUCUGAUUAGCUAGUUGGUAAGGUAACGGCUUACCAAGGCGACGAUCAGUAGCCGGACUGAGAGGUUGAUCGGCCACAUUGGGACUGAGACACGGCCCAGACUCCUACGGGAGGCAGCAGUGGGGAAUAUUGCACAAUGGAGGAAACUCUGAUGCAGCGAUGCCGCGUGAGGGAAGAAGGUUUUAGGAUUGUAAACCUCUGUCUUCAGGGACGAAAAAAGACGGUACCUGAGGAGGAAGCUCCGGCUAACUACGUGCCAGCAGCCGCGGUAAUACGUAGGGAGCGAGCGUUGUCCGGAAUUACUGGGUGUAAAGGGAGCGUAGGCGGGAUCGCAAGUCAGAUGUGAAAACUAUGGGCUUAACCCAUAAACUGCAUUUGAAACUGUGGUUCUUGAGUGAAGUAGAGGUAAGCGGAAUUCCUAGUGUAGCGGUGAAAUGCGUAGAUAUUAGGAGGAACAUCAGUGGCGAAGGCGGCUUACUGGGCUUUAACUGACGCUGAGGCUCGAAAGCGUGGGGAGCAAACAGGAUUAGAUACCCUGGUAGUCCACGCCGUAAACGAUGAUUACUAGGUGUGGGGGGACUGACCCCUUCCGUGCCGCAGCAAACGCAAUAAGUAAUCCACCUGGGGAGUACGACCGCAAGGUUGAAACUCAAAGGAAUUGACGGGGGCCCGCACAAGCAGUGGAGUAUGUGGAUUAAUUCGAAGCAACGCGAAGAACCUUACCAGGUCUUGACAUCGUAUGCAUAGCUCAGAGAUGAGUGAAAUCUCUUCGGAGACAUAUAGACAGGUGGUGCAUGGUUGUCGUCAGCUCGUGUCGUGAGAUGUUGGGUUAAGUCCCGCAACGAGCGCAACCCUUACUGUUAGUUGCUACGCAAGAGCACUCUAGCAGGACUGCCGUUGACAAAACGGAGGAAGGUGGGGAUGACGUCAAAUCAUCAUGCCCCUUAUGACCUGGGCCUCACACGUACUACAAUGGCUGUUAACAGAGGGAUGCAAAGCCGCGAGGUGGAGCGAACCCCUAAAAGCAGUCUUAGUUCGGAUUGUAGGCUGCAACCCGCCUACAUGAAGUCGGAAUUGCUAGUAAUCGCAGAUCAGCAUGCUGCGGUGAAUACGUUCCCGG
Molecule: ribosomal RNA, 1344 nt
Filed under: uncultured bacterium
Lineage: Bacteria
Description: 16S ribosomal RNA
Rfam family: Bacterial small subunit ribosomal RNA
Source: RNAcentral